RNAcentral lists this long non-coding RNA (1255 nucleotides) under Oryctolagus cuniculus (rabbit). RNAcentral describes it as "lncRNA (ENSOCUG00000036557.1)". Lineage: Eukaryota; Metazoa; Chordata; Mammalia; Lagomorpha; Leporidae. The record is from RNAcentral.
UUACUAUCUAAAAGACAGUAACAAAUGCUAGCAAUGAUGCAAGGAUGUGGGUAAAGCGGAAUAUAUACUCUAAUUCACUAUUAGUGGGAAUGCAAAUUAGUGCAACUACUGUGGAAAACAAUAUGUAGAUUUCUUAAAAACUAAAAAUAGACUUGCCGUAUAGUCCAGCAAUCACACCACUGGGUAUAUAGCAAAAUGACAGGAACAUGUAGUAUUAAAGAGGUACCUGCUCCACCAUGUAUUACACAGCACCAUCCAUAAUAUCCAAAAUACUGAAUCAACCAUGCUGUCCAUCAUAAGUAAUGAAUAAAGAAAAUGUGGUUUAUAUACACAAAAGAAUAUUAUUCAGCUAUAAAAAAGAAUGGACAUCUACCAUUUGCAUCAAAAUGAAUACAACUGGAUGACAUCAUGUUGAAUGAAAUAAGCCAGAAGCAUUACCCAUACUUAGGGUUUCACUUACCCCGACAGACCGCUUGGCCUCCGCCGAAUGUCCUAUUUGUGCCCCACGUUGGGCGCCGGCUGCGGUGACUCUUCCUUUUCACCUCCAGAGAAUUAGGCAGGCUGCCUGCAGCCUGUCUUGGCUGAGAAGGGGAAAUGUGCCACCCGCCACUCAGCCUCCCUGAACCCCGGGGACAAUCAGAUGUGGUAGGAAGUUGAGUCAAAGCAGGAUCCCACUUUUGUAAAAGGGGAAGUGUUUAUAAGGCAGUGUUACAGAAUGGACGUGGAAAAGGGGUGGGGUGAUGUGACACAAAAAGGUUUUGGCCAAUCCUAUUAUACCACCUCAGUGAUCGUUAGGCAAAAAGCGCUCUGGGGCUGGGUUGUUUACUGCCAGGGAUUCAAAACGUAAAGACAGGUCUUCAAACUCAAUGCAGGAUUAGGAAGUUCCUCUGGGCCUCUCUGGAUUCAGCCUCCCCCACAAUUUUAGAGGGUACAGAAUUGGGGAUAAAGAGAGUGGGUAUUCAACCAGCAUGGACAGAGGGCAGGGGUUUGAAACCAGAUUUGGGCAGUAGGCAGAGACUCUUUUUAAGCCGUUUGUUGGGGAAGGUACAGAAGACCACAUGGACCCCUCUAAGAGUUUCUUACCAUCGUGACUGGGACAUAAUGAUGCUUAUGAAGAGCAGAAAGAGAAACGUUUAGCAGUAUCUUCAAGAAUGGUCUUGAGCAAAAGAGGCCGCUCCUCAUUCUUGGUCUCUUUCAUAAUGUAGGCAGAGGUGUCUUAGUUGAAUAAACAAACAAACAGGGUGGUGUCUUAGCA